CUACGGGUGGCUGCAGUGAGGAAUAUUGCACAAUGGGGGAAACCCUGAUGCAGCAACGCCGCGUGGAGGAUGACGCAUUUCGGUGUGUAAACUCCUUUUAUAUGUCAAGAAAAUGACGGUAGCAUAUGAAUAAGCACCGGCUAACUCCGUGCCAGCAGCCGCGGUAGUACGGAGGGUGCAAGCGUUACUCGGAAUCACUGGGCGUAAAGGACGCGUAGGCUGGUUGGUAAGUCAGGUGUGAAAUCCUACAGCUUAACUGUAGAACUGCACUUGAAACUACCAACCUAGAGUAUGGGAGGGGGAGAUGGAAUUAGUGGUGUAGGGGUAAAAUCCGUAGAUAUCACUAGGAAUACCGAAAGCGAAGGCGAUCUCCUGGAACAUAACUGACGCUAAGGCGUGAAAGCGUGGGGAGCAAACAGGAUUAGAUACCCUCGUAGUC
RNAcentral lists this ribosomal RNA (439 nucleotides) under uncultured bacterium. RNAcentral's name for it is "partial 16S ribosomal RNA". It matches the Rfam family "Bacterial small subunit ribosomal RNA", at positions 339 to 795 of the family's 1533-position model. The record is from RNAcentral.